Molecule: ribosomal RNA, 1078 nt
Filed under: Bacillus aerius
Lineage: Bacteria; Bacillati; Bacillota; Bacilli; Caryophanales; Bacillaceae
Description: bacterial SSU rRNA
Rfam family: Bacterial small subunit ribosomal RNA
Source: RNAcentral
CGCGGACUAUAAUGCAGUCGAGCGGACAGAAGGGAGCUUGCUCCCGGAUGUUAGCGGCGGACGGGUGAGUAACACGUGGGUAACCUGCCUGUAAGACUGGGAUAACUCCGGGAAACCGGAGCUAAUACCGGAUAGUUCCUUGAACCGCAUGGUUCAAGGAUGAAAGACGGUUUCGGCUGUCACUUACAGAUGGACCCGCGGCGCAUUAGCUAGUUGGUGAGGUAACGGCUCACCAAGGCGACGAUGCGUAGCCGACCUGAGAGGGUGAUCGGCCACACUGGGACUGAGACACGGCCCAGACUCCUACGGGAGGCAGCAGUAGGGAAUCUUCCGCAAUGGACGAAAGUCUGACGGAGCAACGCCGCGUGAGUGAUGAAGGUUUUCGGAUCGUAAAGCUCUGUUGUUAGGGAAGAACAAGUGCAAGAGUAACUGCUUGCACCUUGACGGUACCUAACCAGAAAGCCACGGCUAACUACGUGCCAGCAGCCGCGGUAAUACGUAGGUGGCAAGCGUUGUCCGGAAUUAUUGGGCGUAAAGGGCUCGCAGGCGGUUUCUUAAGUCUGAUGUGAAAGCCCCCGGCUCAACCGGGGAGGGUCAUUGGAAACUGGGAAACUUGAGUGCAGAAGAGGAGAGUGGAAUUCCACGUGUAGCGGUGAAAUGCGUAGAGAUGUGGAGGAACACCAGUGGCGAAGGCGACUCUCUGGUCUGUAACUGACGCUGAGGAGCGAAAGCGUGGGGAGCGAACAGGAUUAGAUACCCUGGUAGUCCACGCCGUAAACGAUGAGUGCUAAGUGUUAGGGGGUUUCCGCCCCUUAGUGCUGCAGCUAACGCAUUAAGCACUCCGCCUGGGGAGUACGGUCGCAAGACUGAAACUCAAAGGAAUUGACGGGGGCCCGCACAAGCGGUGGAGCAUGUGGUUUAAUUCGAAGCAACGCGAAGAACCUUACCAGGUCUUGACAUCCUCUGACAACCCUAGAGAUAGGGCUUUCCCUUCGGGGACAGAGUGACAGUGGUGCAUGAUGUCGUCAGCUCGUGUCGUGAGAUGGUUGGGUAGUCCCGCACGAGCGCACCUUGAUCU